CCCUAUUAUUGAAAAUGUAAAUAUAAAUGCUUGAGUAUUAGUAGUUAUGUUCUUGAAAUUUAAAGGAUUUGGCGGUAUUAUAGUCUAUUCAGAGGAACCUGUCCUAUAAUUGAUGAUCCACGAUUAAUCUUACUUGUUUUAAAGGUUUGUAUAUCGUCGUAGGUUGAAUGUUUUGAAAGGAAGAGGAAUAUUCAAGAUAUUAAGUUAGAGAGGAAAUCAGAUCAAGAUACAGCAUAUAGACAAGGAGAGAUGGGUUACAAUAAAUUUAUUUAUAUGGUUGAAAUAGCUAACACUAUUUUUUAAAGUGGAUUUGAUUGUAAUAUAGUUUAGUUAAACUAUAUGACUGAAGCUCUAUAAUAUGCACAUAUCGCCCGUCGCUCCUGCUCUAAAGCAGGAUAAGU
This 401-nucleotide ribosomal RNA is filed under the name Paracotalpa ursina. Its description in RNAcentral is "partial small subunit ribosomal RNA". Lineage: Eukaryota; Metazoa; Arthropoda; Insecta; Coleoptera; Scarabaeidae. The record is from RNAcentral.